ACAUAGUACGGACAAUGUGAGCGUUAUCGUGGUUGAUUUAAGAAGGAAUCAACAGUCAUGAACAAGAAUAAUAGUACAUAUAGUAAUUAGAACUGUUAUAAAAAAAUAAUGAGAAGGAAAAAAAUGAAAAAUAUGGAGUAGUUUUAUUUAGCUUUAAAUUGUAUAUUUGUAAAGUCUCCUUCUGAAAGAAGGGGAUAAAGGAUCAAAGGACAAUCGAAAAUUUCCGUAUGGGAUUUGGUUUUUGAGGCUGGAGAAUGAUUAUUGACGUAGAGUUGUGGUGGGGAAUACUAAUUUUUAUGGUUCUAAAAUGCGUAUAAAUCUUAGGGGAAGGACAUUUUAUUCCUCAUCAUUUAAUCCUAUUCUCUAGUUCAGUUUUCCUUACUAAAUCUUUUGAUGUUUUCUUAUUUUUCGUUGCUCAACCCAUCUUCUCAGUCAUCCCCUAUGCAAUAAUUUUUUUGUCCAUAUGAACCCUUCAUCAAUGUGGAGGGGGUGAAAAAAAAAA
This 502-nucleotide unclassified non-coding RNA is filed under the name Hevea brasiliensis (rubber tree). Lineage: Eukaryota; Viridiplantae; Streptophyta; Magnoliopsida; Malpighiales; Euphorbiaceae. The record is from RNAcentral.